UAGAUACUCCCUCCGUUCCGAAUUACUUGUUUUGGAUUUGUCUAGAUACGGAUGUAUCUAGCAUCUCUAGAUACAUCCGUAUCUAGACAAAUCCAAAAUAAGUAAUUCGAAACGGAGGGAGUACAAG
Molecule: non-coding RNA, 127 nt
Organism: Triticum aestivum (bread wheat)
Lineage: Eukaryota; Viridiplantae; Streptophyta; Magnoliopsida; Poales; Poaceae
Source: Rfam